RNAcentral lists this long non-coding RNA (497 nucleotides) under Gallus gallus (chicken). Lineage: Eukaryota; Metazoa; Chordata; Aves; Galliformes; Phasianidae. The record is from RNAcentral.
CAGAUCCAAUUAGGAGUGACUUUAUGGUAUACAGAGACACUGGUCUGAUGAAUUUCUAAUGUCAAACAUAUAUGCUUUACAGCAGCAUUUAUUGGUAGCUAGCACUACUCACAUCUAGUUCCAAAAGUCUGUCUCAGGUACUGCAAUUGGUGGAUGGAAUAAGGACUUGUUAUGGGAGUCUUUUGGAGUGUAGCAAGCAAUACCUAUGUACAAAUAGUUACAAGAUUUGAAGCUCCAAAACAGCAAGCCAGCGAGGAUGAUUAUCUCAUUCAUUUCCUGUAGUUGCUGACAAGUUGGUCCAAUGGACACUCACAUAGGAACAGAAAGAAGACUAUAUGCAAGUUUCUCAGGACCUAUGGAACAAAUAAGAGGUUGCAGGUGGAAGUUUCCUGGAUUGCAUCAUUACCAGUGAUGACAUGUGGUGUCACCCCUAAGAGCUGGAGUCAAAACAGUAGUCCAUGAAGUGCCAGCACGUGAAUUCCCAUCAAGAAAAAAAG